CCUCCGCAAUGCACGCAAGUGCGACGGGGGAAUCCCAAGUGCCACUCUUAACGGGGUGGCUUUUCAGAAGUGUAAAAAGCUUCUGGAAUAAGGGCUGGGCAAGACCGGUGCCAGCCGCCGCGGUAACACCGGCAGCUCAAGUGGUAGCCGCUUUUAUUGGGCCUAAAGCGUCCGUAGCCGGUCUGAUAAGUCUCUGGUGAAAUCCCACAGCUUAACUGUGGGAAUUGCUGGAGAUACUAUCAUGACUCGAGGUCGGGAGAGGCUGGAGGUACUCCCAGGGUAGGGGUGAAAUCCUGUAAUCCUGGGAGGACCACCUGUGGCGAAGGCGUCCAGCUGGAACGAACCUGACGGUGAGGGACGAAAGCCAGGGGCGCGAACCGGA
Molecule: ribosomal RNA, 382 nt
Filed under: uncultured archaeon
Lineage: Archaea
Description: bacterial SSU rRNA
Rfam family: Archaeal small subunit ribosomal RNA
Source: RNAcentral